UGUAAACAGAGUGAGUCCUGUGAGAC
This 26-nucleotide non-coding RNA is filed under the name Homo sapiens (human). Lineage: Eukaryota; Metazoa; Chordata; Mammalia; Primates; Hominidae. The record is from RNAcentral.